This is a long non-coding RNA of Columba livia (rock pigeon), 474 nucleotides long. RefSeq lists it as uncharacterized. NCBI's taxonomy places the organism in Eukaryota, Metazoa, Chordata, Aves, Columbiformes, Columbidae. The record is from RefSeq and is a predicted model, not a curated record. The transcript has 3 exons.
CUUCUGGUCCAAAUUUCUUCUUUAAGCAAGGCUUAUUCCAAACUUAAGUUUCUCAUGGCCUAGCUAUACUUUGGAAAUUUCAAGAAAUUGAGACUCCACAGCAUCUCUGGACAACCUAUAUUUAACCACUCUCAAGGUACACCUUUCCACAAAUGAAGCUUAAAUUAGAGCAUGGUAGUUUUAGACAUCAAAGUAAAUGUGAAUGAAGAAAACUGCAUGGCUGUGUGACUCAUUUUAAGGAUAUACAUUGUACAAAAGGGAGGCUACCACUUAACUUGUGGGAUUUUCAAUGAAACAUCAAAAGGACAGACGAAACACAUUGCACAGAGCUCACAGGAAGAGAAUGCACAGCUGGAGCACAAAGAUGCAUAUUGGAUCAAACCACUGAGGAUCACUCCGCGCUCAUUGCUGUUUCCAUUGACAGAAUUUAGCUUUUCCUCUUUGUGGGUGUAAAAAGGCUCCUUCCUGCUCCCU